UACGGAGGGUGCGAGCGUUGUCCGGAAUCAUUGGGCGUAAAGGGCGCGUAGGUGGCCCGGUCAGUUCGUGGUGAAAGCGCGGGGCUCAACCCUGCGUCGGCCAUGAAUACUGCCGCGGCUGGAGCACUGUAGAGGCAGGCGGAAUUCCGGGUGUAGCGGUGGAAUGCGUAGAGAUCCGGAAGAACACCGGUGGCGAAGGCGGUCUGCUGGGGCAGUUGCUGACGCUGAUGCGCGACAGCGUGGGGAGCAAACAGG
This 255-nucleotide ribosomal RNA is filed under the name uncultured bacterium. RNAcentral's name for it is "partial 16S ribosomal RNA". It matches the Rfam family "Bacterial small subunit ribosomal RNA", at positions 524 to 776 of the family's 1533-position model. The record is from RNAcentral.